RNAcentral lists this long non-coding RNA (456 nucleotides) under Notechis scutatus (mainland tiger snake). RNAcentral's name for it is "lncRNA (ENSNSUG00000019059.1)". Lineage: Eukaryota; Metazoa; Chordata; Lepidosauria; Squamata; Elapidae. The record is from RNAcentral.
CCAGAAUGGCUGUCCCUACAGAUCCGUCACAGGUCAAGAGAGCAUUUGAAAAGCUUGCAGAGGGAUAGAUGGGGAUUUCCCUCCACCCUCCUUCAAAGGACAUGUUUCACAUGUGCAUGUGUGGACAUUUCCUCAAUCUUGAACUGCUGAGCAGAUUAAAGGCAAACAAAGGGACAGUGAUGAAAACAGCAAAAAAAAAUGCUGUGCAUCUGAAUGUUACCAGAAUUUACCCAAUGUAGCAACCCCGAGUGGAAAAGAAGGAAAGCUGAAGCUUUGAAAAAUUUCCUGAAGGACACCUAAUUGUAAUUCCUACUUUGAUUUCUCUGUAAAGUUUCUGAAUGCUUCUGGAUGACUACAGUGACAAUUCCCUGACCUGCUGUCCAGAUGAUUGACUGGUUGAUAAUGUCUUUAAUGUUUUGUCAUGUUUUGCCAACAUUGUUUUUAACAAAUCCCAAG